UUUCAUUCUUCACUGCCUAUUUAAUCGUACCUACUGCCCCAUCUAUUUUCAUCUCCCUUUUCGUUACUCAUUUUCGCAUUCGAGUAGCAGCUUAGGGUUAAUCGUGUUCUCUGAUUUCGUGACGAGGCAAUUUUGUGGACUAGAGUUUCUGAUCUGGGUAGUUACUCAGAAGUUGAUUAUCAAACCCUUGGCUGUCUGAGCACAUCAAAGUUUCGAAAAUUAAGUAUUUUUUGAACAUUUUUCAUGUCUCAAAAAUAAUUGUGUUGAAUCUCACCCUUUUUCAUAUAUAAUUGAAUUUGCUUUAGAAAACAAUUUGGCUUAUGAUGAUAAUUUAAUUAUCUUAGCGGAUUUCAGUGAGAUUUUUAUCAAUGAUCUGAUUGUUACACACACUGAAGCCAUUGUUUGAUUGCUUUUAAUAUUUUGUUUAAAAAUUUGUACAUUUGGUCAUUGGUUGUAGUUCUAAUUUGAUGUAUUUGUUCUUAAUUAUGCUACUUUUAUCACCUGAAUUGAUGGGUUUCAUUACAUAGGAAAUGCAUGAUAGUGAGUACUAAUUUUAUGUUAAUGGUGCUAUGAUGAGAUGAAACACUUUGUGGUGUUUUUAGGCAGUGGACGUAACCAAAAGGUUUCGCCGUGAGCCUUCAAUUUAACGACUUCUCCUUCCACUGAGUACCAUAAUUAGAGAUUAUAAUUAGGAACAGCAUUUGAAUAAAUGCAUAUUCUUUGGUAUAAGUUAAACAAUUAGGAUCAUUGUUUUUAAUUGCGUCCAUUACCAAUUCCGGGGGAUAUGUGGUUCCUCCUGGUAUAAUGGCUCGGACGCCAGAUUAAUGACGUGGUCAUCCUGAUUGAUGGUUUCAUCAUCGUGCCAUUUGGUCUUGGAAACGCCACCAAAACUUUUUUUACUUCAAAUUUGAAGAAUACUAAUUUUAUUAUGAUUGCAGUUGAUUAUAUAGGUAGAGAUAUGUUGUAGUGUUUAUAGUUAUAUGAUUAUGAUUGCAGUUGGUUAUACUUCGAAUCAUAAGUACGUGCAAAUUAUGUGUUUUUGAAAUUAGCAUUGGAUUUUGUGAUUUGAAUCGCGUGCUAUGACGAGGCAAUUUUGUGGACUAGAGUUUCUGAUCUGGGAAUAUACUCAGAAGUUGAUUAUUAAACCCUUGGCUGUCUGAGCAUACCAAAUUUUUCGAUUCAACUAAAAUUACUACAAAAUUCACUGGAAACUUUUUUAUUUCUUAAUUGAUUAUAUUUUUUAAUUCAUAUUUUGAUUAGAUUUCUGUAGAUUGAGGCUUUUAUUUGGCUUAUGAUGAUAAUUUUAAUAUCUUAGCGGAUUUCAGUGAGAUUUCUAUCAAUGAUCUGAUUGUUACACACACUGAGGCCAUGAAUUUUAUGCUGUGGAGUCUUAUUUUCUCAUUUUUAUUGUUUGGUUAUUAUUUUUUAACAAUUUUAUGAUCUGAUUGUUACACACACUGUGAGGACAUGCUGUGGAGCGGUGAAAAGACAGAAUGUAUUCCUAUGGAUUCUAAGGGAGAACGAAGGACGGAGUGGAGGAUGGAGGCGGAUCGGUUGGAACGCGGGCUAGCCGGCCGGUAGGUUCGAUUCCUCCCCGAUUCCUAUUUACUCGAUCCAUUGUUCCCUUGUUCGUGCUUAAUUUUUAGAGAACAACGCAAAACAAUUUUCUUUGGCAAUCAAAAUCUUUAUCAUCCCAUAAAACUUUCUAACAUUUCUAAAGAUUUUCCAAACGUUAUCAACAUUUCUAUAACGUCCAAAACUAAAUGUUAUGCAGAUAAUAUUUCUCAAACAAUUAAGUAGUUACUCUCCUCUUAGAA
RNAcentral lists this small RNA (1817 nucleotides) under Vigna angularis var. angularis. Lineage: Eukaryota; Viridiplantae; Streptophyta; Magnoliopsida; Fabales; Fabaceae. The record is from RNAcentral.